AAUGAAGUGCCUGAAAAAAGGGUUAUUUUGAUAGAAUAAAUCAUACUUGAUAUAAGUUUUCAUUA
This 65-nucleotide transfer RNA is filed under the name Cucujus kempi. Its description in RNAcentral is "tRNA-Ile". Lineage: Eukaryota; Metazoa; Arthropoda; Insecta; Coleoptera; Cucujidae. The record is from RNAcentral.